UGGGAAACUCCACUGACUACGGGGAAAA
RNAcentral lists this non-coding RNA (28 nucleotides) under Rattus norvegicus (Norway rat). The record is from RNAcentral. Lineage: Eukaryota; Metazoa; Chordata; Mammalia; Rodentia; Muridae.